Molecule: ribosomal RNA, 695 nt
Filed under: uncultured beta proteobacterium
Lineage: Bacteria; Pseudomonadati; Pseudomonadota; Betaproteobacteria
Description: bacterial SSU rRNA
Rfam family: Bacterial small subunit ribosomal RNA
Source: RNAcentral
CUUACACAUGCAAGUCGAACGGCAGCACGGACUUCGGUCUGGUGGCGAGUGGCGAACGGGUGAGUAAUAUAUCGGAACAUACCCAGUAGUGGGGGAUAACUAUCCGAAAGGAUAGCUAAUACCGCAUACGAUCUGUGGAUGAAAGCAGGGGAUCUUCGGACCUUGUGCUAUUGGAAUGGCCGAUAUCUGAUUAGCUAGUUGGUAGGGUAAAAGCCUACCAAGGCGACGAUCAGUAGCUGGUCUGAGAGGACGACCAGCCACACUGGAACUGAGACACGGUCCAGACUCCUACGGGAGGCAGCAGUGGGGAAUUUUGGACAAUGGGGGCAACCCUGAUCCAGCAAUGCCGCGUGAGUGAAGAAGGCCCUCGGGUUGUAAAGCUCUUUUGUCAGGGAAGAAACGGAGUUCUCUAAUAUAGGAUUCUAAUGACGGUACCUGAAGAAUAAGCACCGGCUAACUACGUGCCAGCAGCCGCGGUAAUACGUAGGGUGCAAGCGUUAAUCGGAAUUACUGGGCGUAAAGCGUGCGCAGGCGGUUUUGUAAGUCUGAUGUGAAAUCCCCGGGCUCAACCUGGGAACUGCAUUGGAGACUGCAAGGCUAGAGUGUGUCAGAGGGGGGUAGAAUUCCACGUGUAGCAGUGAAAUGCGUAGAGAUGUGGAGGAAUACCGAUGGCGAAGGCAGCCCCCUGGGAUAAC